This is a long non-coding RNA of Hydra vulgaris (swiftwater hydra), 766 nucleotides long. RefSeq lists it as uncharacterized. Lineage: Eukaryota; Metazoa; Cnidaria; Hydrozoa; Anthoathecata; Hydridae. The record is from RefSeq and is a predicted model, not a curated record.
AACAUUUUAAACUCUGAGUGGAAGAACUAAUUGUAGAAAACUAACUGAUUACAGAAAAAUAAUUCAAUAUCUUUUUACUUUAUUUAUUUAUUUUCUUUUUUAACAUAUUUAUUACUUAAGAUUUCUAAUUUUUGUAUUUUAGAAGUGUGGUAUUUAUUAUUAUUAUUAUUAUUAUUAUUUCCUUUCUUUUUACUGCGAUUGAAGUAUGCUCCGAAAAUAGUUAAAAUAAAAUUCAUUUAUAUUUUCCAAAAGUUGGUGUUUUACAGGUAAUAAAAUGUUUACUGAAAGAAGUUGGCAAGCAAAAGUGUCGGAUAUAUGUCGGUUUAUUUUGUAAAAUUACUACAAAAAUUCCAAAACGCUCAAAUAACGCCUAUGGGAUUUCAGUUAUGGUGGCGCCUCUGAUCUCUAACAACGCGUUAAACGUUUAUCUAUUUGUAUAUCUUUGGUGAAUUGAAGCAAUAUUUCAUUAUCCAUUAUGUAUUUAAAUGUAUAAGUGCAUGUCUAAAAAAGUUUCCGCAUUGUUUAACAGAAUAUUGUGAAAGUAUAGACUAUUCUGGCAUGUUGAUACCAUGACUGUUUUACUAUUUUUAACACUUAUAUGGUUUAAAAAUUCAAAUCCUUCUGGCACACAUUUAGAGUUUAUUUUCUAAAUCAAUUUAUUGACAUAUAUUGAUCAAUGCAUUUAUUAAGUACUCUUCUGGUACAAAAGCAGGCUUGUAAUUCCAUGUAGAAAAUUUAAAUUUCUUCCGAAAACGCCCAAGUUGAU